This 385-nucleotide ribosomal RNA is filed under the name uncultured bacterium. Its description in RNAcentral is "bacterial SSU rRNA". It matches the Rfam family "Bacterial small subunit ribosomal RNA", at positions 79 to 477 of the family's 1533-position model. The record is from RNAcentral.
AUACGAUGGGUGGCGAGUGGCGGACGGGUGAGUAAUGCAUCGGGAUCUACCCUGACGUGGGGGAUAACCUCGGGAAACCSGGACUAAUACCGCAUACGUCCUACGGGAGAAAGCGGGGGACCUUCGGGCCUCGCGCGGCAGGACGAACCSAUGUGCGAUUAGCUAGUUGGCGGGGUAAUGGCCCACCAAGGCGACGAUCGCUAGCUGGUCUGAGAGGAUGAUCAGCCACACUGGGACUGAGACACGGCCCAGACUCCUACGGGAGGCAGCAGUGGGGAAUAUUGGACAAUGGGCSCAAGCCUGAUCCMGCAAUGCCGCGUGUGUGAAGAAGGCCUUCGGGUUGUAAAGCACUUUUAUCAGGAGCGAAAUACCACGGGUUAAUACC